RNAcentral lists this ribosomal RNA (124 nucleotides) under uncultured bacterium. RNAcentral describes it as "partial 16S ribosomal RNA". It matches the Rfam family "Bacterial small subunit ribosomal RNA", at positions 377 to 518 of the family's 1533-position model. The record is from RNAcentral.
GCAAGCCUGAUCCAGCCACGCCGCGUGAGUGAUGAAGGCCUUAGGGUUGUAAAGCUCUUUUGUCCGGGACGAUAAUGACGGUACCGGAAGAAUAAGCCCCGGCUAACUUCGUGCCAGCAGCCGC